AUUAAGAACCAUAAACUGUAUCACAGAGCCUAACCUAUUGUUAAUCACAUUCAGGGGAUUAAUUUAGGACUCACCGGUCAAAACAUGAUUUGUUACAAAGUUUUUCCGAUUGAUAUUCGUUGCUCGUGUUUGGCGCAAGUAGUCCCUAUUAUGCGAAUAUUAGGUUAGUUUCUUACUUUCUUUCUCAUAGUCACGGUUAGGAGAACUUUUGAUGCAUGGUUGCAGCUUCAAGAAGGCAUCAAUUAAUAGAGGUUUUAAAACUCCAACUACAAAACAUGACAACCAAACACCAAAAGACACCAUGAUUCAUUUUAUCAAACACCUUAGUUGCACAGUUUCCUGGCAAGAAAUAAAAGCUCAGGCAAAACCAUCAUAGUCUUUGAAGUUUGGCUACACACCACAGGUUCAAGACUAUCAAAUUAUAGAGGUUUUAAACAACAUAUACAACAUAUAUAAGACUUUUUGCACAUUGUACAACUACAUGAUGCGCAUUUGUG
This 497-nucleotide long non-coding RNA is filed under the name Helianthus annuus (common sunflower). The record is from RNAcentral. Lineage: Eukaryota; Viridiplantae; Streptophyta; Magnoliopsida; Asterales; Asteraceae.